This 28-nucleotide non-coding RNA is filed under the name Mus musculus (house mouse). The record is from RNAcentral. Lineage: Eukaryota; Metazoa; Chordata; Mammalia; Rodentia; Muridae.
UCUAAUUUUGGUUGCCAUGUGUACCUUG